AUUUUUUCUGAACGAUUUACGUAAUCUAGCGGACUCUAUGAUUUUUAUAAAUGGCUGCAGUAACCUGACUGUACUAAGGUAGCAUAAUCAUUAGUUUUUUAAUUGGGGACUGGAAUGAAAGGUAAUAACCUUACAGGAGGUUUUAUUGAAAUGCCUUGAAUUUAAAUUAAAGAUAAAAAUGUUUUUAUAGGGCCUUGGGACGAGAAGACCCUAGAAGCUUAAAAUUUUUAAUUUUUGAUUGGGGCGAUUUAAAGAAGAAAAAAAUCUUUUUUUAUUAAGUGUAAGUAGAGAUGAAGUUACUCUAGGGAUAACAGCGAUAUUCAAUUUGGGAGUUCAUAUCUUGAGUUGAGUUUGCGACCUCGAUGUUGAAUUAAAUGUAGGUUGGGUGAAGGAGCUUAAUUAUGUAGUCUGUUCGACUUGUAGAAAU
Molecule: ribosomal RNA, 427 nt
Filed under: Hoplobunus sp. 2 JCL-2017
Lineage: Eukaryota; Metazoa; Arthropoda; Arachnida; Opiliones; Stygnopsidae
Description: partial 16S ribosomal RNA
Rfam family: Bacterial large subunit ribosomal RNA
Source: RNAcentral